GGGUUGUGAGGUUAAGCGACUAAGCGUACACGGUGGAUGCCCUGGCAGUCAGAGGCGAUGAAGGACGUGCUAAUCUGCGAUAAGCGUCGGUAAGGUGAUAUGAACCGUUAUAACCGGCGAUUUCCGAAUGGGGAAACCCAGUGUGAUUCGUCACACUAUCAUUAACUGAAUCCAUAGGUUAAUGAGGCGAACCGGGGGAACUGAAACAUCUAAGUACCCCGAGGAAAAGAAAUCAACCGAGAUUCCCCCAGUAGCGGCGAGCGAACGGGGAGGAGCCCAGAGCCUGAAUCAGUGUGUGUGUUAGUGGAAGCGUCUGGAAAGGCGCGCGAUACAGGGUGACAGCCCCGUACACAAAAAUGCACAUGCUGUGAGCUCGAUGAGUAGGGCGGGACACGUGGUAUCCUGUCUGAAUAUGGGGGGACCAUCCUCCAAGGCUAAAUACUCCUGACUGACCGAUAGUGAACCAGUACCGUGAGGGAAAGGCGAAAAGAACCCCGGCGAGGGGAGUGAAAAAGAACCUGAAACCGUGUACGUACAAGCAGUGGGAGCACGCUUAGGCGUGUGACUGCGUACCUUUUGUAUAAUGGGUCAGCGACUUAUAUUCUGUAGCAAGGUUAACCGAAUAGGGGAGCCGAAGGGAAACCGAGUCUUAACUGGGCGUUAAGUUGCAGGGUAUAGACCCGAAACCCGGUGAUCUAGCCAUGGGCAGGUUGAAGGUUGGGUAACACUAACUGGAGGACCGAACCGACUAAUGUUGAAAAAUUAGCGGAUGACUUGUGGCUGGGGGUGAAAGGCCAAUCAAACCGGGAGAUAGCUGGUUCUCCCCGAAAGCUAUUUAGGUAGCGCCUCGUGAAUUCAUCUCCGGGGGUAGAGCACUGUUUCGGCAAGGGGGUCAUCCCGACUUACCAACCCGAUGCAAACUGCGAAUACCGGAGAAUGUUAUCACGGGAGACACACGGCGGGUGCUAACGUCCGUCGUGAAGAGGGAAACAACCCAGACCGCCAGCUAAGGUCCCAAAGUCAUGGUUAAGUGGGAAACGAUGUGGGAAGGCCCAGACAGCCAGGAUGUUGGCUUAGAAGCAGCCAUCAUUUAAAGAAAGCGUAAUAGCUCACUGGUCGAGUCGGCCUGCGCGGAAGAUGUAACGGGGCUAAACCAUGCACCGAAGCUGCGGCAGCGACGCUUAUGCGUUGUUGGGUAGGGGAGCGUUCUGUAAGCCUGUGAAGGUGUACUGUGAGGUAUGCUGGAGGUAUCAGAAGUGCGAAUGCUGACAUAAGUAACGAUAAAGCGGGUGAAAAGCCCGCUCGCCGGAAGACCAAGGGUUCCUGUCCAACGUUAAUCGGGGCAGGGUGAGUCGACCCCUAAGGCGAGGCCGAAAGGCGUAGUCGAUGGGAAACAGGUUAAUAUUCCUGUACUUGGUGUUACUGCGAAGGGGGGACGGAGAAGGCUAUGUUGGCCGGGCGACGGUUGUCCCGGUUUAAGCGUGUAGGCUGGUUUUCCAGGCAAAUCCGGAAAAUCAAGGCUGAGGCGUGAUGACGAGGCACUACGGUGCUGAAGCAACAAAUGCCCUGCUUCCAGGAAAAGCCUCUAAGCAUCAGGUAACAUCAAAUCGUACCCCAAACCGACACAGGUGGUCAGGUAGAGAAUACCAAGGCGCUUGAGAGAACUCGGGUGAAGGAACUAGGCAAAAUGGUGCCGUAACUUCGGGAGAAGGCACGCUGAUAUGUAGGUGAAGUCCCUCGCGGAUGGAGCUGAAAUCAGUCGAAGAUACCAGCUGGCUGCAACUGUUUAUUAAAAACACAGCACUGUGCAAACACGAAAGUGGACGUAUACGGUGUGACGCCUGCCCGGUGCCGGAAGGUUAAUUGAUGGGGUCAGCGCAAGCGAAGCUCUUGAUCGAAGCCCCGGUAAACGGCGGCCGUAACUAUAACGGUCCUAAGGUAGCGAAAUUCCUUGUCGGGUAAGUUCCGACCUGCACGAAUGGCGUAAUGAUGGCCAGGCUGUCUCCACCCGAGACUCAGUGAAAUUGAACUCGCUGUGAAGAUGCAGUGUACCCGCGGCAAGACGGAAAGACCCCGUGAACCUUUACUAUAGCUUGACACUGAACAUUGAGCCUUGAUGUGUAGGAUAGGUGGGAGGCUUUGAAGUGUGGACGCCAGUCUGCAUGGAGCCGACCUUGAAAUACCACCCUUUAAUGUUUGAUGUUCUAACGUGGACCCGUAAUCCGGGUUGCGGACAGUGUCUGGUGGGUAGUUUGACUGGGGCGGUCUCCUCCUAAAGAGUAACGGAGGAGCACGAAGGUUGGCUAAUCCUGGUCGGACAUCAGGAGGUUAGUGCAAUGGCAUAAGCCAGCUUGACUGCGAGCGUGACGGCGCGAGCAGGUGCGAAAGCAGGUCAUAGUGAUCCGGUGGUUCUGAAUGGAAGGGCCAUCGCUCAACGGAUAAAAGGUACUCCGGGGAUAACAGGCUGAUACCGCCCAAGAGUUCAUAUCGACGGCGGUGUUUGGCACCUCGAUGUCGGCUCAUCACAUCCUGGGGCUGAAGUAGGUCCCAAGGGUAUGGCUGUUCGCCAUUUAAAGUGGUACGCGAGCUGGGUUUAGAACGUCGUGAGACAGUUCGGUCCCUAUCUGCCGUGGGCGCUGGAGAACUGAGGGGGGCUGCUCCUAGUACGAGAGGACCGGAGUGGACGCAUCACUGGUGUUCGGGUUGUCAUGCCAAUGGCACUGCCCGGUAGCUAAAUGCGGAAGAGAUAAGUGCUGAAAGCAUCUAAGCACGAAACUUGCCCCGAGAUGAGUUCUCCCUGACCCUUUAAGGGUCCUGAAGGAACGUUGAAGACGACGACGUUGAUAGGCCGGGUGUGUAAGCGCAGCGAUGCGUUGAGCUAACCGGUACUAAUGAACCGUGAGGCUUAACCUUACAACGCCGAAG
RNAcentral lists this ribosomal RNA (2925 nucleotides) under Escherichia coli. RNAcentral's name for it is "23S ribosomal RNA". It matches the Rfam family "Bacterial large subunit ribosomal RNA". Lineage: Bacteria; Pseudomonadati; Pseudomonadota; Gammaproteobacteria; Enterobacterales; Enterobacteriaceae. The record is from RNAcentral.